RNAcentral lists this long non-coding RNA (1084 nucleotides) under Anas platyrhynchos platyrhynchos (common mallard). RNAcentral's name for it is "lncRNA (ENSAPLG00000030925.1)". The record is from RNAcentral. Lineage: Eukaryota; Metazoa; Chordata; Aves; Anseriformes; Anatidae.
ACUAAAAGUAGUAGAAAAUCUAUGUAGAAAUUUCUGUGUAGAUAAUUCCAUGUUUUCUAGUAGAAAACCAUUCUAUAACUAUGAUUCUAUGAUCUAGAUCAGCCUAAAGUGGUAAUGAAGCUUCAUCCUGCAUCUGUCUAUGGCUAUCUCUGAAGAUACUUUGUGCUCAAAGACUCCCGAGGCAUGUGGGCUUUGGAAAAAUAAAGCUAACUUGGUCACGCAGACAGAAAUGUCAGCAGGACCCAAUCAUUUUUAUCACCACUAGUGCUACAAUAUGACAAGAAGAUUGGAGAAAAAUGGGAAUGUAAAAGUAAUCCCUGCAACAGGUAGGGGUUUUUACAUAUAGAUAGCAUGUUUAGUUUGAUAAAAAAUUCUUCUUGUAGAUGGAUAUUUUUCUAAAUAUCUGCUAUCAAGAAAACACCCAGAAGGUGCCAAGUUCCAUUUCUUUUUUUUCUAGCUACAGCAAAAUAGACUGAAUUUAUAAAUGCCAUUUUUAUGCCACUGGUUUAUUGAUAUUAAGUUCUGAAAACUGUGAAGAAGCCUGGCAAAUGAGAGGCUAUUUCAUUUUAAUAUAGAAGUGAUGGUUCUGUGACCUUUAUAUGUCAUUUCUUAUAUGAUCCUACCAAGCAGCGUGAGAAAAAAAUGACAUUUUGGAUGAGGGUCCAGCCUGGUGAAUGUAGUGAUAUAGUGAUAGUUUGUUGUUUUCUGUUUUUUCCUAGACAUCUGUUUUGAAAAAAAAAAAAAAAAAGGUUGGGGGUGGGGGUGGGAAGGGGAUAUAAAAAAGAAUUUCAAGUAGAACACAAAAUUGAUUAAAACUUUAUUGCAGAACUGUACUAGUUUACCCUGCACAGAAAAGCAAAUGGAUCUUUAAUUUGUUUUGAUUUCUAUGAUAACCUUAAUUUAAAAUAGGAAGUGAUACAGUAUGUUCAUAAAAAAAAAAUGUUUGCCAAAUAAGUAAAUGUGUAGACACAUGAUAACAAAAGCCAGUCUCCUAAAUUCACCAUUGCAUUUUGUAAAUUUUCUCAGUCCAGAUUACAAAGGUUCAAGGUUAGGAGAAAAAUAAAACAGACAAUAAAACAAAACA